AUGCUGCUUCUGCUCCUACACCACCAUCAUCUGGAAGAAGAGGAGCUGGCAGAGGAAGAGCUGCUACUACUUCUACUACUCCACCACCAUCUGGAAGAGGAGCUGGCAGAGGAAGAGCUGCUGCUACUUCUACUACCCCGUUCGUCCGCAGCAGCAGCGUCAACUCCACCAGGACCGAGGAGGGCGCGUCGGCAGCGUCAGGGAGGUUCACCUGCCCCGGCGGCCACGGCCACGGUCGGCGCCCACGAGCGGCCGCAUUGCAAGAAAGUCGCUCCGACGACGACAACCGCAGCUGGUAGCAACAGCAACGGCAACAGCGGUGGCGGUGCGAGAUCGGUUUACUACUACGGGUACGGAGGCGGCAGGAGCGGCAGCGACGGCCAUGGUGGCGGCGGGGUCCAGGUGAGCCCGGUGCUGAAUGUGACGUCCAUCGGCACGAGCGUGGUGAACAUGCUGAGCCACCUGCUGUGCGACUGUAGCGAGAAGGCCCCCAAGCAGCAGAGUAGGGGCUUCGGAGUGCGCUGCUGGGUAACCAGGUAG
RNAcentral lists this ribosomal RNA (540 nucleotides) under Triticum aestivum (bread wheat). RNAcentral describes it as "partial small subunit ribosomal RNA". Lineage: Eukaryota; Viridiplantae; Streptophyta; Magnoliopsida; Poales; Poaceae. The record is from RNAcentral.